UGGAGCAGUUUGACCUGCUGGUUCAACAGGUCAGAGGCCUCACCGAAGCAGUGCAGGCCAUGCAGCAGCAGCCGCAGCAGCCGCAGGCAUCGAUGCGGCUGGAAAGAGCAUUGCCAAAGUUCUAGAAUCUGAUGAUCGGGCGGGCCACAUGGGCCAGCCACCCUGUCUUUCCCAGAAAAGAAAAAUAGAAGGCCAAGAGUCCUCCGUCCGAUCAUGAUUCAACCCCCGGAGAGUCCUUACCUCCGCUCCACCAAAAGACCCUCGAGGCCCGCAAUCGAGAGGACCUCCUGAAUCAGAGAUUCCAGGAGAUGAACCGAUAGAUCGAAGAGCUCUGCCGCACUCCCACUGCUUACGGUGAGGACAUCUGCACUGACCCUCCUUUCUCUCAAAUGAUCAUGCAGGAACCAAUCCCGCCAAACUUCAAGCUCCCCUAAU
RNAcentral lists this long non-coding RNA (435 nucleotides) under Elaeis guineensis (African oil palm). Its description in RNAcentral is "long non-coding RNA (EGUI_LNC065762)". The record is from RNAcentral. Lineage: Eukaryota; Viridiplantae; Streptophyta; Magnoliopsida; Arecales; Arecaceae.